GGCGAGUGAAGCGGCAAUAAGACUCAAAUUUGAAAUCUGGUACCUUCGGUGCCCGAGUUGUAAUUUGGAGAGGGCAACUUUGGGGCCGUUCCUUGUCUAUGUUCCUUGGAACAGGACGUCAUAGAGGGUGAGAAUCCCGUGUGGCGAGGAGUGCGGUUCUUUGUAAAGUGCCUUCGAAGAGUCGAGUUGUUUGGGAAUGCAGCUCUAAGUGGGUGGUAAAUUCCAUCUAAAGCUAAAUAUUGGCGAGAGACCGAUAGCGAACAAGUACAGUGAUGGAAAGAUGAAAAGAACUUUGAAAAGAGAGUGAAAAAGUACGUGAAAUUGUUGAAAGGGAAGGGCAUUUGAUCAGACAUGGUGUUUUGUGCCCUCUGCUCCUUGUGGGUAGGGGAAUCUCGCAUUUCACUGGGCCAGCAUCAGUUUUGGUGGCAGGAUAAAUCCAUAGGAAUGUAGCUUGCCUCGGUAAGUAUUAUAGCCUGUGGGAAUACUGCCAGCUGGGACUGAGGACUGCGACGU
RNAcentral lists this ribosomal RNA (513 nucleotides) under Saccharomyces cerevisiae (brewer's yeast). RNAcentral's name for it is "eukaryotic LSU rRNA". It matches the Rfam family "Eukaryotic large subunit ribosomal RNA", at positions 88 to 602 of the family's 3401-position model. The record is from RNAcentral. Lineage: Eukaryota; Fungi; Ascomycota; Saccharomycetes; Saccharomycetales; Saccharomycetaceae.